AGGAGAACGGGCGAGCGGGGCGGCGGUCGCGGCCGAGUCCGGCCCCGGGGAGGCGCCUAGGGGUUGGCGUUCCGGUCGGCGCGUGGCGGGGCGGGGCCGUGAGCGUGCCCGCGCGGCUUGGCGGCUGUGACGGACAGGGCGUGGUGCGUGUGCGCGUGGGGGAGGGCGCAGGUGUAAGGUGCGGCGGGGUGUGCCUGCGGCCCUGCCCCCGCGCGGGCCCUCGCUGCGCUUCGCGCGGCCCGCCGCCGGCGAGAGACGGCGUGUAUGGGAGCGCUGGAGGGGCUCUGCGUGGCUGGGGGCCGGAAGCACCCCCAGAGGCGACCGCCGCGCCCCAGCGCCCGCACACCCGGCCCCGCCACUGGGAGCCCGGUGCGGCCCAGAGCCCCGCGGGCCUGGGGAGCUGCCUGGCUGCGGCGGUGCGGCUGAAGCGCUUCUUGCCUGCCCCGCCCGGAGGCGGGGGAAGCCGGGACACGGGGCUGAGCAUGGAGAUGAGGACACUGAAGCAUAGAGAGGACCGGUAAUCACUAGUAAGUUGAGGGGCCAGGAUUCACAUCCAGGACAGGCCGACUCCACAGCCCCGCUCUGUACUGGCUCUCAUGUAAUCUCCUCAACAGCUGCUUGAGUUUCUGUUAUGUAAAAUGAAGAGAAUAUUCUUUACCUCAUAGGACUGUUAUAAGGAUUAAGUGAGCUCAUACCUGUGAAGCACUUGCUGUAGUCCCUGCCACACAGUAAGUGCUCAAAACUUGGCGGAGGGCGUGGCAGAGGACUUAAGAACUAUAGUUUGUCAGAAAGCAAAGUGAGAACCUGGGUCUCCUGACAGUUUUUUGGUCCAGCUAUCUGCAAGCCACGUGGACUCUGUUGUAACAAAGCUGUGCCCUCUCAGGGUGAAGCCCUUCUCCACAUGAGGAGCCGGGAAGAGGAGAACAGGAUGGGAAUUGAACUUCCUAAAGCCAUGUCCGUGGAUUCAGUGACUUUCACGGAUAUAGCCAUAGACUUCUCCCAAGACGAGUGGGAAUGGCUGAAUCUUGCUCAAAGAACUUUGUACAAGAAGGUGAUGUUAGAGAACUAUAGGAACCUGGCUUCAUUGGGUCUUUGCAUUUCUAAACCAGAUGUGAUUUCCUUAUUGGAGCAAGAUAAAGAGCCCUGGAUGAUGAAGGGAGAGAUAACAAGAGGCUUGAGCCGAGACUUAGAGUAUGUGUGGAUGACAAAGGAAUUACCUCUGAACCAGGACAUCUAUGAGGAAAAAUUAUCCCAGGCAAUGAUAAUGGAAAGACUUACAAGCUAUGACAUAGAGUGGCCCACAUCAGGGGAAAACUGGAAAUGUGAAGACCUGCUUGAGAGGGAGCUGGUAAGUCAGAAGACACACUUUAGGCGAGAGACAGUCGCUCACGUAGACACCAUUAGUGAGAAAGGAGGCCACUCUGACAAAUGCGGGACAGUUUUUCAUCUGACUACAUUAUCUUAUAUAAAACAGUUAUUUCCUAUUGAAGAGAGAAUAUAUAAUUUUGACACAGAUAAGAAAAGCUUAAAAACACAUGCCUUUGUGAAAAAACACAAGCAAGUCUACAGAGAAAAGAAACUUUUGAAAUGUAACGACUGUGAGAAAACUUUCAGCAAAAUCUCAACACUUACUCUUCAUCAGAGAAUUCACACUGGAGAGAAACCCUAUGAAUGUGUCGAGUGUGGGAAGGCCUUCAGCCAGAGUGCACACCUCGCUCAACAUCAGAGAAUCCACACAGGAGAAAAGCCCUUCGAAUGUGCUGAAUGUGGGAAAGCCUUCAGCCAGAAUGCUCAUCUCAUUCAGCAUCAGAGAGUUCAUACUGGAGAGAAACCUUAUCAAUGUAAGCAGUGUAACAAAGCCUUCAGCCAGCUUGCACACCUCUCUCAGCACCAGAGAGUUCAUACUGGCGAGAAACCCUACGAAUGUAUCGAAUGCGGGAAAGCUUUUAGUGAUUGUUCGUCCCUAGCUCAUCAUCGAAGGAUUCACACUGGAAAAAGACCCUAUGAAUGUCUUGACUGUGGGAAAGCUUUCAGGCAAAACGCUUCUCUUAAACGUCAUCAGAGGUACUGUCACACUGGAGAGAAGCCUUUUGAUUGUAUUGACUGUGGGAAGGCUUUCACUGAUCACAUAGGACUUAUUCAGCACAAGAGAAUUCAUACUGGAGAGAGACCUUACAGGUGUAAUGUGUGUGGGAAGGCUUUUAGCCAUGGCUCAUCCCUGACUGUCCAUCAGAGAAUUCAUACAGGAGAGAAGCCCUAUGAAUGUAACAUCUGUGAGAAAGCCUUUAGCCAUCGGGGCUCGCUAACUCUUCACCAGAGAGUUCAUACUGGAGAGAAACCCUACGAAUGUAAGGAAUGCAGGAAGGCUUUUCGGCAGAGCACACACCUGGCCCAUCAUCAGAGAAUUCAUACUGGGGAGAAACCUUAUGAAUGUAAGGAGUGCAGCAAAACCUUCAGCCAGAAUGCACACCUUAUACAACAUCAGAAAAUACACACUGGAGAGAAACCGUACGAAUGUAAGGAAUGCCCUAAGGCCUUCAGUCAGAUUGCACAUCUUAUUCAACACCAGAGAGUCCAUACAGGCGAGAAGCCUUAUGAAUGUACUGAAUGUGGGAAGGCCUUUAGUGAUGGCUCCUAUCUCGUUCAACAUCAGAGGCUCCACACUGGCAAAAGACCAUAUGCCUGUCUUGAAUGUGGGAAGGCAUUCAGACAGAGGGCAUCCCUGAUCUGUCACCAAAGGUGUCACACAGGUGAGAAACCUUAUGACUGUAACGUCUGUGGGAAAGCCUUUAGCCAUCGUAAAUCCCUCACUCUGCAUCAGAGAAUUCACACAGGAGAGAAACCUUAUGAGUGCAAGGAAUGCAGCAAAGCCUUCAGCCAGAUUGCCCACCUGACGCUGCACAGGAGAAUUCAUACUGGAGAAAGGCCCUAUGAAUGUAAAGAAUGUGGAAAAGCCUUCAGGCAGAGUGUACACCUUGCUCACCAUCAGCGAAUCCAUACUGGAGAGGCCUCCUCAGUCAUUCCCUCCCCUUCACCUGCGUACCGCAAUGUCCUCUAGUUUCAGGUUCUGAAUCUAUCUGUCCACUUUUUCCCAACUUAUGUGCCACUGUCACAUCCAAAAGGCAACCAUCUCAUUUGGAUUUCUGCAUAGCGUCACAACCAUUUUCCCUCUUGCUCCCCUCAAGUGUAUUUUUAACAUUGUAGCCAGCUUAAUCUUUUACAAGUAAAGAACUGUAUUCAUUUACUUUUCCAUUUAAAACACUUGUUUUGAAGAAUAUGUUAGAUAAUCCACUUAAAGGGUUUAGCAUGCCAUCCUGGGCUUAUCAUUAGUGCCAUUAAGGUGGAAGUUUCCUUACAGUGAUGUUCAGCUGCAAGUAUAAUGAACCAGUAUGUUAAGACUAAGAAGCCUACAAAUUUUAGAGUAGACAGAGAACUCUACUCUUCUAGUAGGUAGGAAAAAUGAACACAUUCAGAAUUGAAAGAUUCUAUGAUAUACAAGGUAACAUGGUGGCUUGCUCCUCCCUCUGUAUGAAUAAAUACAGUGACAUCCAGCAUUGUUUAUGAGAAAGUCUCACCUCACCUGGCACUUAGAAGUGAGAAUAGGCUUAUUAGAACAAAAGAUAGAAGGUAGGACUAACCAGGGGAUAGUAUUAAAAAUGAACUAAAAUGAACAACCUAGAAACCUUGGUUAGCCGUGAAAUAAACUACAAAAGGUGGUUCAACACUUUCAACUGUGGAAAAGCACCACGGACAAUCCCUGUGAUAUUUAAUUGUUCUAGAGCAUAAAAUAAAUACAGUAAAGCUUCCCAUCUUGUUCUGUGAGAUGGACAAGACUAAUAUCAAAACAGAAAAACAUAUAUAUUGCAAUUGGCUUAUGAAUGUAGAUAUUAAAACAGUUACAAAUUUUUAUCUAAAUUUACUUAUUUAUUUAUUGGCCAUGCCGGGUCUUUGUUGCUGCACAGGGGCUUUCUCUGGUUGCAGCAAGCAGGGGCCACUCUUCAUUGUGGUGCAUGGGCUCCUCAUUGUGAUGGCUUCUCUUGUUGCAGAGCACCGGCUCUAGGUGCGCCACCUAGGAAGUCCCUGAGUAUUUUUUAAAUAUUAAAAAACAGAGUAAAUGAAAAGCUAGACAUGUCUCUGUAUAGACAGACUCAGUCCAGCAAAGAUAUUUCUCCCCAAGUUAAAUACAUAAACUCAUUGAUAUUCUAGUAAAAGUCCCUACGUGUUUUUUAAGUUGACAGACUCAUGUUGACCAUCUAUAUAAUCCUAUGAUAUAGCAAGGAGUGUAGCACUCAUUAAAUUAGCAUUAAUGGAGCACUUAUUACUCUUCCAGGCACUAUUUUAGGUGCUGGGGACUCAGUAAGGUGCAAAAUGUACAAAAAUGUUUCUCCUCACAGAUCUAGUGGAAGAAGACAAACUAAAAAUUGACAUACUAUAUAGUGAGUAUGUGACAUGCACGUACUCAUACAUGUUGAGAAAUGAUUUAAAGGGAGCCAGGGAGUGCUGGGAGGGGGUGCUUUACUCCCCCAGAACAUAUGGGCAUUGGAACCAAGGGAUGAGGGAAGAACUAGAAAAACUCAGCCACAAAGGGCGUGAUAAGAAUAAUCAUGAGUCUCAAAGUAGAUAUUAUGAUGCUUUGAGAAUUGCAGGAAGCGAGAAUCGAUGGCUUAGCAAGGUUCAUGAGAGUUCCAGUCACUCUUCGUCAGUCGUGAUUUAGAGGUUGGUGGAGGUUUUUGUUUUGUUUUGAGUUUUGUUUUGGUAGCAGUCUUAUUGAGAUACAUUUCACAUACCAUACCAUUUGCCCACUUAAAGUAUAUGAUUCAGGGAAUUCCCUGGUGGUCCAGUGGUUAGGACUCCAUGGGCCCGGUUCAAUCCCUGGUCAGGGAACUAAGAUCUCAUAAGCUGUGUGGCGCAGCCAAAAAAAAAAAAAAUUAUGUGACUUUUAGUAUGUUCAGAGUUGUGCAACCAUCACUACAGUUCAUUUUAGAACAUUUUUUCAUCCCCCAAAACGAGAUCCUCUGCCCUUUAAUAGAUGCACUUACACCUGGAGGAAAACACUUACCUGGAGCACCUCCUACACCAGCAAGUACCUGGAAUAUCCAGAGCUCUCUUCUUUUUUUUUUUUUUUGCUGCAUUGGGUCUCCAUAGCUGCGCAUGGGCUUUUCUCUAGUUGUGGCGAGCGGGGGCUACUCUUCAUUGCAGUGCAUGGGCUUCUCAGUUCAGUGGCUUCACUUGUUGUGGAGCACAGGCUCCAGCGUGUGCAUGCGCGUGGGUUUCAGUAGUUGUGCACAGGCUUAGUUGCUCCACAGCAUAUAUAGGGCAUGUGGGAUCUUCCCAGACCAGGGAUCAAACCCCUGUCCCCUGCAUUGGCAGGCAGAUUCUUAACCACUGCGCCACCAGGAAAGUUCCUUGGCUUUCCUCUUGGCUGCUGCCUGUGGCCAUGUGAGGGAGCUCUUAUCCAGGGGACACAACCACUGGAAAAUGGAGCUAUGGGGCUUCCUCUUUACUUUGGCACAGAGGCUAGGAGGUGGGCAGUCUUAUCCAGACCAUGUGCAGGUUUUCACUGCCCUUACGUGUGAUAAAAAGGAUUUUUCAUUUCACUGGGAGCAAAAACAAAUCAAUCAGAUGGCCUUGGGACAGUUAGCUCUCUAGAAAGACGUAGACCUAUAUUUUACACACUGAUGAAGCUCUGACAGAUUUAGAGAUCUGAAGGUACAAUAUUAAAGUACAAGAAAAAUUUAGAAUAUUUCCAUAACCUUGGCUUGAGGUAGGCCUUGUUAAGCAUUACACAUAACCCAGGAGCUGACAUUAAACUGAGUAGCACUUCUGUGUGGAAAACAUCAGACUCAAAGUUAAUAGGUAAAUGAGAGACAAAGAAAAUGUUUGCGAUAAAUAAAAAAGUGCAAUAAUCCCUGAUAUUCAAAGCACUGAUACAAACUAGUAAUAGUAACAUCUGCAGCUCAGAAAAGUGGACACAGCUAACAGCCACUUUAAAUAAGAUGAAAUAAAAACAACUAAUGAAAAUUACCCACUAUUAGUCAUCAAGGCAAUGCAAAAAUAAAGUGAUGAUAUAUCAAUUUUUUUCCCUGAUAGGUUGAUUUUAAAUCAUAGAAGAGUGAUAAUAUCCAGUUUUGGUGAAUGUGUGAAAAACAAGGCAAUUCCAUUGUUCAUUAUAUAAAUUGCUGUAUGUACAGAGCAUUUGAAUCAGUAUUCCUCAGAAACAAAAGUGUACAAAGGAAAGUAACAACUCAUGAUGUGCACUGGGCAAACACCCAAGUGAAGAAUUAUUAGUCACAAUCACCUGAGGUGAAUAGACAUCUAGGGUCCUGGAUAAUGGCAGUUUCAAGAGGAAGAGGAAUGCCAAGUCCAAAGAGUGUCUGUGAUGCUGGUAGCUAACUGCUUUGGGUAAUUCAAAACUCAGAUCUUGAACGUUUUGAACUACUAGCAACUAAGGGUCUUUGUAUGAUAUUGUUGAAACAUACCUUACACCAUUCGAAGUCAUAGGGUUAAGAUGGCUUAAAACCAAAUUGAGAGACUUCUUUUCUGGGUUGCUAAGGUGGGAUACUGGUUAAAUUCUAUAUUUUAUUGUAGAGUGGUUGUAAGAUCUGAAUUGGGCCCCUCCCACCCCCAGAUUCACAUACUGAAUCCCUAAACCCCAGUGUGACUGCAUUUGGAGAGCUUCAGCUUUUGGGAGGAAAUGACGGUUAACUGAAGUGAUAAGGGUGGGGUCCUAAUCUGAUGGACCUGAUAACCUUAUAAGAAGAGGGAGAGACACCAGAGCUACUAGAGAGAAGUUAUGGUGACAAUUGAGAAGUGUUUCUGGCAAUUUAUCCCCAGAACUGACCUUGAGCUUUACAGGAAGUUGGUCUGGAGAUGAGAAGGAGCCACGUGAUAAGUUGAGGGACUCAACAUUUCUAGGUUACAGCAAGGAAAAUUCCUACCACCCACUGCAGAUGUGGCCUUCACAGGAAGUGUUUUUGCUCCUUGUAUCCGAGGAACCUAGAACUCAUAGUGCAUGUACCUCAUG
Hippopotamus amphibius kiboko is the source of this 7024-nucleotide RNA transcript. It is a transcript of the gene named zinc finger protein 470, with no coding region annotated. The record is from RefSeq and is a predicted model, not a curated record. Lineage: Eukaryota; Metazoa; Chordata; Mammalia; Artiodactyla; Hippopotamidae. The transcript is spliced from 9 exons.